UGUGUGUGGGUGGGACUGGCUGUUUCAUAGCUACUGAGGUGUGUGUGUGUGGGGGACUGGCUGUUUCAUAGCUACUGAGGUGUGUGUGUGUGACUGGCUGUUUCAUAGCUACUGAGGUGUGUGUGUGGGACUGGCUGUUUCAUAGCUACUGAGGUGUGUGUGUGUGUGGGACUGACUGUUUCAUAGCUACUGAGGUGUGUGUGUGUGUUGUGGGACUGACUGUUUCAUAGCUACUGAGGUGUGUGUGUGUGUGUGUGUGGGACUGACUGUUUCAUAGAUACUGAGGUGUGUGUGUGUGUGGGACUGACUGUUUCAUAGCUACUGAGGUGUGUGUGGGACUGACUGUUUCAUAGCUACUGAGGUGUGUGUGUGUGUGUGUGUGUGUGUGGGACUGACUGUUUCAUAGCUACUGAGGUUGUGUGUGUGUGUGUGUGUGUGUGUGUGUGUGUGUGUGUGUGUGUGUGUGUGUGUGGGACUGACUGUUUCAUAGCUACUGAGGUGUGUGUGUGUGUGUGUGGGACUGGCUGUUUCAUAGCUACUGGUGUGUGUGUGGGACUGGCUGUUUCAUAGCUACUGGUGUGUGUGUGGGACUGGCUGUUUCAUAGCUACUGAGGUAUCUGUGGGACUGGCUGUUUCAUAGCUACUGAGGU
This is a long non-coding RNA of Oncorhynchus keta (chum salmon), 650 nucleotides long. RefSeq lists it as uncharacterized. The transcript has 3 exons. The record is from RefSeq and is a predicted model, not a curated record. NCBI's taxonomy places the organism in Eukaryota, Metazoa, Chordata, Actinopteri, Salmoniformes, Salmonidae.